RNAcentral lists this ribosomal RNA (460 nucleotides) under uncultured bacterium. RNAcentral describes it as "partial 16S ribosomal RNA". It matches the Rfam family "Bacterial small subunit ribosomal RNA", at positions 338 to 795 of the family's 1533-position model. The record is from RNAcentral.
CCUACGGGAGGCAGCAGUGAGGAAUAUUGGUCAAUGGCCGGAAGGCUGAACCAGCCAAGCCGCGUGAAGGACGAAGGUGCCAAGCAUUGUAAACUUCUUUUGUCAAGGGACAAAAUCAGGCUCGAGAGCCUGCCCGAGGGUACUCGAAGAAAAAGCAUCGGCUAACUCCGUGCCAGCAGCCGCGGUAAUACGGAGGAUGCGAGCGUUAUCCGGAUUUAUUGGGUUUAAAGGGUGCGUAGAUGGGUUGUUAAGUCAGUUGUGAAAGUUUGCGGCUCAACCGUAAAAGUGCAAUUGAUACUGGGAGUCUUGAGUACAGUUGAGGUAGGCGGAAUUCGUGGUGUAGCGGUGAAAUGCUUAGAUAUCACGAAGAACCCCGAUUGCGAAGGCAGCUUACUAAACUGUAACUGACAUUGAUGCUCGAAAGUGUGGGUAUCAAACAGGAUUAGAUACCCUAGUAGUC